UACAGGUGUUAACAAACUGGAAGCAACAAAAACUGCUAGAAAGUGCUGACACUCAACAGUACAGGACCUGUUGAUAAGCGGGAAGAAGACAAAAAGCGAGGAUUGGGAGCUCAGUCUGUUGUGCAUGUUCUUGACAAGAUGAAGGCAGAACCAAACUGAACCAGGUGGUCCCAAGGCUCCUUCUGAUUUCAUUUUGUAAGCUCAACUCUACCACCAAAAAUCAUGUGUGGCUUUAUGGACAUAGAACUCUAAAGCAGAGGAGAUUCAGCUGAUGUUCGGCAAUGCACUUAAA
This 292-nucleotide long non-coding RNA is filed under the name Mus spicilegus (steppe mouse). Its description in RNAcentral is "lncRNA (ENSMSIG00000029083.1)". The record is from RNAcentral. Lineage: Eukaryota; Metazoa; Chordata; Mammalia; Rodentia; Muridae.